Molecule: ribosomal RNA, 424 nt
Filed under: uncultured bacterium
Lineage: Bacteria
Description: partial 16S ribosomal RNA
Rfam family: Bacterial small subunit ribosomal RNA
Source: RNAcentral
AAUCUUGGACAAUUGUCCCAAGGCUGAUCCACCCACGGCGCGUGUUUGAAGAAGGCCUGCGGGUUAUGAAGCUCUUUCCGACGGAACGAAAUCUCGCAGGCUAAUACCCUGCGCGCGUGACGGUACCGUCAUGAGUAGCACUGGCCAACUACGUGCCAGCAGCCGCGGUAAUACGUAGGGUGCGAGCGUUAAUCGGAAUUAUUGGGCGUAAAGCGUGCGCAGGCGGUUGAUUAAGACCGGCGUGAAAACCCCGGGCUUAACCUGGGAACUGCGCUUGUGACUGGUCAGCUAGAGUACGGCAGAGGGGGGUGGAAUUCCACGUGUAGCAGUGAAAUGCGUAGAGAUGUGGAGGAACACCGAUGGCGAACGCAGCCCCCUAGGCCGAUACUGACGCUCAUGCACGAAAGCGUGGGUAGCAAACAGG